AGUCGUUGCGGCGACUAUAAACAGGCCUUAAGCCGCAAGCGUCCGCCGGGAUCCCGGCGGGGUGG
This 65-nucleotide ribozyme is filed under the name uncultured Eisenbergiella sp. Its description in RNAcentral is "Pistol ribozyme". It matches the Rfam family "Pistol ribozyme". The record is from RNAcentral. Lineage: Bacteria; Bacillati; Bacillota; Clostridia; Lachnospirales; Lachnospiraceae.